This is a long non-coding RNA of Peromyscus californicus insignis, 3050 nucleotides long. RefSeq lists it as uncharacterized. The record is from RefSeq and is a predicted model, not a curated record. NCBI's taxonomy places the organism in Eukaryota, Metazoa, Chordata, Mammalia, Rodentia, Cricetidae. The transcript has 6 exons.
UGGACUGGCUCUGCCCUGACUUCCUGGCAGCACCCCCUUGAAUAGCCUGAGGGGGUGGAGCUGGGCCCUAGCCCAGCUAUGGGGAGAGCGCCUCUCACCCCACUGAGGUCUUUGUAUCAGAGUCAAGGCUUCCCUCGGUACACCAGCUUGGCCUCACCAGUGAUCAAGAAAACCCCCUUUCUGGGCACUUGCUGAAUAGAGCCUUGUUCUCUGCCGCCAGUGAGGGAGCCAUACGGCAAGGGCAGCCCCAAGGGGACUGGGCUGCUUUUAUCCCAAGAUGCCAGGAUGUCAGCCCCGGGUGCUGUACAAGCUCCCAGCUCAAUGGACUUCUCGGAAAGCGUCGAAGGGGGCCUGGAGUACAGCGGGAAGCAGGCUGUGUGCCCACCCCUGAUCAUUGUGUCUAUGCCAAGGGCAAAACCUCAAUGCCUCCCAGGACAAUCCCACUUCUGGUCUCAACUCAUACACAUAGUGCCUGGUGUUUCCUACUGAUGCCAGACUCUAAUUCAAGUGGUCAUGCGAUUCGAGUGUCACCUGCCGGCUUUGCUUGCACACCUGCCCCUGCCCAGUAGAGAUCAAGACUGGUUGGCUGACCCCAUCCCAUGGUGCUGCCCGGAGGAAGGGAAGUGAGGACCCCAGGACCACUAGAUGGCAGUGCUCAGCUGCCCAGACAGACUCACCUCUGCUGUGACGGUGCCCUCUUGAGAAGAAAGCAAUACUUUGGCUCCUCUGUGGCUGUGAAGUCUUGGGUGACCCAGGAACCGUCACCGAAUCCAGAUCUGUGAAAUGAGGACUUACCUUCCAAGAACAUUGUCAGUGAGAGACAUCCACAGCAGGCAUUGUUGUCAAACCAUAGCGUUCAUCUCAUAAUGCCUGCCGUGUGCGCCACUUACCGCAUGCCCGUGCUUCUGUGAUGGCUCAGCCAGGACGGGCAGGAACUUGAGUAAGGGCUGCCAAGUCCAUCCAACAGCACCUACUGGGAGUAUGUGAGAACCUUCUAAGGGAGGUCACGUGGCAGUGUGGCUAGGACCAAGGAACUGCACAACAUUCAUCCCCAACUGUCCUGGUCGCCUCUUCACAGAACUAUGGAAAGCCAGGCAUGGUGGCACUCUGUGAGUUCCAGAGUAGCCUGGUCUACAUAGCGAGUUCCAGGACAGACAACACUACAUAGAGAGACCCUGUCUCAAACAAACAAACACAAAAGAACUAUGGAAGAGAAGACAGCCAUGACUUACAUGCUACUUGGAACCAGGAUCCCUCAAGCACAGUUGAGAGCCACGGGGUCUUUCCAGGGAGAAUCUGGAGACAGUCUCAUCGCCCAUGCAAGUCAGAUGGAAGCUGCGUCUCAGCUGGCUGCCCCCCUGCUGCCCCCGCCAGCCCGACUGCCUAUGGCAUGCAGGACACCACACAGCAAGCUCUGGGCCGACCUCCUGUGAUUGAGGGCAGGAGCCACACGUGCUUAGCUCUAUCAGCCCAGAGUCUCUGUACAUUUUAUGGGUCACCCGAGAGCACACUUUGUACCACAGAGCCGCAAAUGUUUGCAGAGUGAAUGGCUGGCUGCUGAACAUCCUUGUCAAGAGUGACCUCUUCCACGGUCAGGCUGCCCCCAGCCUGGCAAACUCUGCCUCAUGCAAGGACCCCGUUGUGCAGAGCAUGCCCUCCUGGCCCUCGUUACUGGCUGCCUUGCCAUGUGCGGACUGCCUCUGCCCUUGAAGGGCGAUAGUGAUGAUCAGAAGAGGUAAUAUAUGUGAAGACCCCAGGAAAUGGACAAGUUACUCCAUCUGAAUCCAGUCAUCACUCAGCAAGGCCUCUUCAAGUGAAAGUACCGUGCCAACUACCAGGGGAUACAGAUGUGAAUCUGUGACGGCUUCGAGGGAGCCACAGAACACAGGGGAACAAACUCAUUAACACUAAUUGGAGAGGCGGGAACCCCAUGCCUGAGAAGAGAAAUGAUGUCUGUUCACUUCAAAAAGGAAGCAGUCCUGAGUUAUGUAAAAACCAGGAUGUAGGCUGGGUCCCAAAUACUUGCUGUCCAACUGUGGACAAGUUGGGCAGAGGUGUUUGAUUCUGUUUCUCUCCUCUGUCUCAUAGGGCCAGUGUAAGCUAAGGCACAGCCUGGCAGCACAGGGAAGCUCAUCCACCUGCUUUUCCUCACUCUCCUGAUAAGGGACAGAAAUGAGCAGGAGGGGUCCAGGCAUUCUUUGAACCUGGCAGCAUUAUUUACACACUAUUCACAAUGUGCUAAAUACCCUUAAAAAUGUUUGUUUUCAGGAGCAAGUUCAACACAAGCUCCUGUAAUUUUGUUUACACUAUUAAUUCACUCAGCCAACCAUGUCUUCAUGGGGAGAACAGAGAUAACCAUGUUGAACUGCUAUACAAUCCAGCGAGUGGAAAGGAAGGCCCCCAAGAGCUGGUGGAGGGAUGGGGAGAGGAGCAGGCUGCACUGGACUCUAGCUGGAACUCACUUGGAGCCUCAGCUCAGACCUGGGUCCAACCAAAAAGGCCUUCCUGACAGCAGAGUGACCCACCCUAAGGUGUGAUAGACAUCCAAGUGAGAUUCCUUUGAAACCCACUGGGAGCAAGGAUCCUGCAAGGAAGAAAAUAUCAUGUGUGUGCAUGUGUGAGGGUGGGUAACAUGUAUAUCAUACAGCAUGUGUGUGGUCAGAGGACAGCUAUGGAGUGGGUUCUGGGAUUGGACUGAGGCUGUCGUGCAGACCUGCAAAACAAGUGCUUUUACCUGCUGAGACAUCACCCAGGCCCACGGAGAGGAUCCGCACUGUACUGAGGAGCCAGGUUCAGGCUCCAGAACAGAAGGCUGCAGAUGGCCAGGAAGGUAUUGUUUCCUGGACUCCUAAGUUCCUUGAACCCAGGACUGCAAGCAUGCCAGGCAAGUAAGCACCUACCACUGAGCCACAGUCCUAGAAGUUUCCUGUUGAUUUUUUUCACAUUAUGUAGGAACAGUUGCCCUCUAACUCACGAUCCUCCUGCUUCAGCUUCCCAAGUGCUGGGAUUACAGGCGUGUGUCACCAAGCUCAGCUUGAGAUCUUUUUUUU